Molecule: ribosomal RNA, 437 nt
Filed under: uncultured bacterium
Lineage: Bacteria
Description: partial 16S ribosomal RNA
Rfam family: Bacterial small subunit ribosomal RNA
Source: RNAcentral
AGCGAACGCUGGCGGCAGGCUUAACACAUGCAAGUCGAGCGGGCAUCCUUGUGGUGUCCGCGGCCGACGGGUGAGUAACGCGUGGGAACGUGCCCUUCGUUUCGGAAUAACUCAGGGAAACUUGAGCUAAUACCGGAUACGUGCGAGAGCAGAAAGGUUUAUCUGCCGAAGGAUCGGCCCGCGUCUGAUUAGCUAGUUGGUGAGGUUACGGCUCACCAAGGCGACGAUCAGUAGCUGGUCUGAGAGGAUGAUCAGCCACACUGGGACUGAGACACGGCCCAGACUCCUACGGGAGGCAGCAGUGGGGAAUAUUGGACAAUGGGGGCAACCCUGAUCCAGCCAUGCCGCGUGAGUGAUGACGGCCUUAGGGUUGUAAAGCUCUUUUCUCCGGGACGAUAAUGACGGUACCGGAGGAAUAAGCCCCGGCUAACUUCGUG